GCGUAAUAGCUCACUGGUCGAGUGACUCUGCGCCGAAAAUUCAACGGGGCUAAAAUUCAUACCGAAGCUUGGGCUUGACAGUAAUGUCAGGGGUAGGGGAGCGUCGUAUACGAGGUGAAGUCAUAGCGGAAGCGGUGGUGGAUUGUAUACGAGUGAGAAUGCCGGAAUGAGUAGCGAAAAUUAUGUGAGAAUCAUAAUGGCCGAAAGUCUAAGGUUUCCUGAGGAAGGUUCGUCCUCUCAGGGUUAGCCGGGAGCUAAGGUGAGGCGGAAACGCGUAGCCGAUGCACAUACGGUAGAAAUUCCGUAGCCUCCGAAGAUUUAAGCACAGGGACACUUUUGAAGGGCUGAGCCGGGCGUUGGUUGCCCCGGUCGAAAGGGACACGAGUGAGUGGAAGUCAGUUUGGAAAGAGGCGAGAAAAGCUGUGUGUAUAUGGAAGGAGCCCGUACCGCAAACCGACACAGGUAGACAGGAAGAAGAUUCUAAGGCCAGCGGGAGAAGGGUUGUUAAGGAACUCGGCAAGUUGACCCCGUAACUUCGGGAGAAGGGGUGCUUACGAAGGUAAGCCGCAGAGAAUAGGCCCAAGCGACUGUUUAGCAAAAACACAGCUCUAUGCUAAAUCGAAAGAUGACGUAUAUGGGGUGACACCUGCCCGGUGCUGGAAGGUUAAGAGGAGAUGUCAUCGCAAGAGAAGCAUUGAAUUGAAGCCCCAGUAAACGGCGGCCGUAACUAUAACGGUCCUAAGGUAGCGAAAUUCCUUGUCAGGUAAGUUCUGACCCGCACGAAUGGUGUAACGAUUUGGGCACUGUCUCAACAACCCACCCGGCGAAAUUGUAGUACCGGUGAAGAUGCCGGUUACCCGCGACUAGACGGAAAGACCCCAUGGAGCUUCACUGCAGCUUAAUAUUGGAUUUCGGUAUUUCAUGUACAGGAUAGGUGGGAGACUGGGAAAUACAGGCGUCAGCUUGUAUGGAGUCAUUGUUGGGAUACCACUCUUGAGGUGCUGGAAUUCUAACCUGUGGCCUUGAAUCAGGUCAGGGGACAUUGUUAGGCGGGCAGUUUGACUGGGGCGGUCGCCUCCUAAAAGGUAACGGAGGCGCUCAAAGGUUCGCUCAGCAUGGACGGAAACCAUGCCAGAGAGUGCAAACGCAUAAGCGAGCCUAACUGCGAGACUGACGGGUCGAGCAGUAACG
RNAcentral lists this ribosomal RNA (1191 nucleotides) under human gut metagenome. RNAcentral's name for it is "bacterial LSU rRNA". It matches the Rfam family "Bacterial large subunit ribosomal RNA", at positions 1132 to 2401 of the family's 2925-position model. The record is from RNAcentral.